UACGUAGGGGGCAAGCGUUGUCCGGAUUUAUUGGGCGUAAAGAGCUCGUAGGCGGCUUGGCAAGUCGGGUGUGAAAACUCGAGGCUCAACCUCGAGACGCCGGUGGAAACUGCAAAGCUAGAGUCCGGAAGAGGAGAGUGGAAUUCCUGGUGUAGCGGUGAAAUGCGCAGAUAUCAGGAAGAACACCCGUGGCGAAGGCGGCUCUCUGGGACGGUACUGACGCUGAGACGCGAAAGCGUGGGGAGCGAACAGG
Molecule: ribosomal RNA, 253 nt
Filed under: uncultured bacterium
Lineage: Bacteria
Description: partial 16S ribosomal RNA
Rfam family: Bacterial small subunit ribosomal RNA
Source: RNAcentral